GGGGAGAGAGUUUGGUAAUAUUGUUUUCAGUUACAGCCUCCUCCGUCGAUGCCGCCUUCUUCUCAUGAUUGUCUUCCUCCAACGCCCCAUAUUUAAUUUCAGGCCGCAGCAAUCGGCACUUUCUCCAUUCCCAAAAUAGCUAAAAGAACGAGGCGAGCAACGAAAAAAAAAAAAAAACUGAAAUUUCCGGAAUCCUAAAGACCUCUUGUCCAAUAACCAAAAAUUCUCCCCAUGGCCUGCUUGAAUUCGAUCUUUCCAGGUUACUCGGCUUGAUCCGAAGAGGGGAGCGAUACGUAAUUCCAGUUUAUUGACAGAUAGCAUCAAAAUGAUCGCUUCGACUUUAAUCGCCCAGAUUAAAAAUCUCAAUUUUAUAGGGCAGUGUUGGUCGGUCGUGGUUAAAUUUGAUUGGCAAUUUGGAUGGUAGCAGAUGCACAUUACAUGGAUUGAACAAUUGAAGGCGUGGGAAUUCUGCUGGUGUCUUGGAGACACACAUGUUCAAGUGUUCGGGAAUUGAAGAGAUGGAUAAGAAUCUUCUAGAGUUUGGAAAGUUCUGUGUGCCAGAUGACGUCGAUGAGACCCAUUUCUAAUUUGAAGAAUGGACGGUGAAAUACCCAGUCCUCCAGGUCAGAGAUUUGCGCAAGAUUACAAUUAUUUGGUCGCAGGUGAGGUACCUUCAAACAAGCACUUGAAUAACAUCUCUGUUCGGACUGGCGAGGAGUUCUCCAUGGAUUUCCUUCAAGAUCGAAUCACACCAAGAGGAGCAACAUUUAGACCUGGGAUAGAUCGUGGGCAAAUGAAGAAUGUAGGAUGUAAUAAUUAUCAGAUUUUUCAGGCAGGCUAUGAGGAUCUUGCAGGCAUUCUUGGGCUUGGAAGAACAGACUCUAAUGGUUAUUCUGAUGUUUCUAAUCCUAAUUUGGCUAAAGGGCAUUUGAUGGAUGGCAAGGCUAUGGAACAUAUUGAUAGAACAAGCAAAAUUCAUGGCGACAAUAAUAGGAAAGUGACAGAGAACUGUAUGGAUGAGUGUUCUGAACCUGGUCCUCUUUCUGAGCCCCUUCAAGGUUAUCAGAAUUGCCCUCGUGGACCUGGAGUCGUGGAAAGUCCUCAGUCCAGUAAAGUGAAAUUCCUAUGCAGCUUUGGUGGAAAGAUCUUGCCGAGGCCAGGUGAUGGGAAACUGAGAUAUGUUGGUGGUGAGACACGGAUUAUCUCCAUCAGAAGGAAUCUUUCAUGGAAAGAACUUAUGCAAAAAACCGUGAGCAUUUGCAACCAACCUCACACCAUCAAGUAUCAGCUUCCUGGCGAAGAUCUUGAUGCUCUGAUAUCUGUUUCUACAGAUGAGGAUCUUCAGAAUAUGAUGGAAGAGUACUAUGGGCUUGAAAAGGCUGAUGGAUCUCAGAGACUUAGAUUAUUUCUCAUAUCCCUGAUUGAAUCUGAUAACCCUUCUAUAGAUACUAGAGACUUGCAUAGCAGCUCAGAGUACCAAUAUGUUGUUGCUGUGAAUAACAUACUAGAGCCAGGUCCCAGGAAAAGCUCAAGUGGUAAUAGCUAUUCAAGCCAAAUGGGAUAUCAUUUAGAUAAUUCUCCAAGAUUUCAGAGAGAUUCCCCUUCUUUUCCUCAUUCUGAUGUUAUCAAUGGACUUGCUGCUCCAGAUCAUGCUGGCAUGUUCAUGCAUCUCCCUGGUCCACAGUUCUUUGUUAGUUCUCAAACUGCACCAAAGACCCCCACACAGUCACCUCCUUUUUCUCCAAGGCCAGUUCAGCAGAGAGAUAUGAGACAUUCUAGCAAUCAAUCAUAUGAUGAUCAGUUUAUAGCAGACCGACCACUGGAGAAUUAUCAUGAGAUUGAUGCUAGCUAUUGUCUACAAGGAGUACCAAAGCUGCAUCCUAACAUGCGUAGUGAUGUUGAGAUGCCGACUGUAUCUCAUGGAAUGCCUUCUCAAAAUCAUAAGCACAUCAGGGAUUUUAUUAAUCCACCAUUUACUCGCAAUGACAGUGACUUAGGUUUAUAUCCAUAUUAUGAAAAGCCUCCUCAAACUGAAAGAGCUUUUCAUUCUGACAAAUGCCCCAAUCAGAUAGGAGAUUCACUGAGUUGGAUAUUGGGAUCCAAUGAUUCAAUUGGUCCACCUCAAGGUAUGCCUCAUGCAUAUUCUGAUUCAGUGCUUCAAGAACAAGGUGAAAGGAAUUUGUCUAAUGCAUCAGAAGGAACAACACCCUACAUGGACUUUACAGCAUCACCAUUUUGUCAACAAAUAUGCCAAAAUAACCUGCAGGAAGGAACAACACGAUUCCAUGAAAAUAUAGAUAUCAAUCACCCAAAUCUUUCUGAUAAAUUACAGAGAACCUUGUCCACCAGUCCUCAGGUUAGACCAGAAUUUGCAUAUUCUUCUCAUCAUCCAGAAGUUCGUGGAAGAAAUGAAUCUAAGCACCAAAUUGCCUAUUAUCCUGGUGAAGAACAUCGACGUAAACAAAGAUCUGAUGACCUCAAUUCUGGGUCACAAGACUGUUAUGUGCAACAUUGUUUGGCUGGAGAUGCGGUUACACAGAUGAAUGAGAAAGGAGCUCUUCUUCCUCGGGAUAAGAAACUUUAUCAUGAUGAUUUUAAUGCAACACAAGAGACAUCCAUUUACAAGAGUAAGUUACUUGGCACAAAUUACAACCCUGGUGGUAUGCGUGGUGCUCAUGUUUCUUCCCAGGAGUUAGAAGCAUUAGAAAGUUCUGUUCCUACAUCUUCACUUUUUUCUUCAAAAUCUGAUUCGGAUAAUCUCAAAGUGCAUUCUCCUGGCAACCCAUUUGAUGGAUCGAAGCCAGAAAUUUCCACCAAAAGCUAUGGAAUUGCUAAUAGUCUGCGUGGUGAAUCAUCUGAACCAUUAAAUGAUCAUCUUGCAUGUGAAGGUGGCAAUGUCAUGGCUCUUCCACCUUCUGUUUCAUGGCCAAAGGAUUCUCUAGAAGCUCCACUUCCAAACAAAUUUGCUGAAGACAUUACUCCAGAGUGUUGUGGUGAUAAAACUCCAAAUGACCUAGUUUACGCAUUAUCAAGUGAUCCUGUUUCUCAUCUUCCUCCAGGCACAAUGUCUCAGAAGGAUAACCAAGGAUACAAAGUAUCAGGUUCUACAGCUCCACUUGUUACAGUCGGUGGCAUUGGUCUGAGUCUAAACCUGCAUGCUGAUGACCCUCCGAGUUGGUCUUUCUUUCCAAAUCCAGCCACAGGUAACAUUUUAAAGAAAGAAGUUGUUCUUCUUGAUUGGGACUCCAUUAAUCAUCCUGAUUCAGGCAUCACUGACAUGGAUCAUGAGGGCUGCGGUCUUGAACCAUGGAAAGGAGGAGAGAACAGAUCAAUAUGUAAUGUGCAUAACAAUGUUGCACCGGAGACAGGGGUUAUUAUUGAAGAUGUAACUGACAGUGUUCCUUCAGAUAUCCCAGCAUUCCCAACAAUUGUUCCUCAUGUACUUCAGGAGGCAGUUGAUGAAGUGGAAACUGGUGAAAUCUCCUUGCCAAAAGUGACUGAUGCAGAGAGCAACACUCCGGAGUCUGUUAGUGAGGAUGCAAAAACUGAUGAAAGAGAUAUGGAUGAAUCCAUAAGUGAUGCUGCAAUUGCAGAGAUGGAAGCUGGUAUAUAUGGUUUGCAGAUCAUAAGAAAUGCUGACCUUGAAGAGCUACGUGAAUUGGGAUCUGGUACAUUCGGAACUGUCUUCCAUGGAAAGUGGCGGGGAACAGAUGUUGCAAUUAAGCGGAUUAAGAAAAGUUGCUUUUCAGGGAGAUCAUCUGAACAAGAGCGAUUGACCAAGGAUUUCUGGAGGGAGGCACAGAUCCUGUCAAAUCUUCACCAUCCAAAUGUGGUUGCAUUUUAUGGGGUUGUUCCUGAUGGAGCUGGGGGAACACUGGCCACUGUAACAGAAUUUAUGGUGAAUGGAUCGCUCAGGCAUGUCCUACUAAGGAAGGAUAGGGCACUUGACCGCCGUAAAAGGCUGAUAAUUGCAAUGGAUGCAGCUUUUGGGAUGGAAUACUUGCACUCAAAGAACAUAGUUCAUUUCGAUUUGAAAUGUGACAACUUACUAGUUAACUUGAGAGAUUCCCAAAGACCAAUCUGCAAGGUAGUGCCAGAAAUUGCAAGUCUACUUUGACACUUAUUGAGCAGUCGAUCUGGUUUUGUUCUGCAUUGGCACAUCUGCAGUAUAUAUGAAAUUAAUAAAGAAAAGCAGGGCGAGUGGGGGAAGGUUGGUAGGGACGGGGGUGGGUUGGUUUGUAGUCAGCGUUAAAAAGGAACUAGAGUAGGAGGGCUCAACGAACAAGCGUAGAGCAUAAAUGUGGCUUUGAAAAGAUGCAGCUGGAAAUUUCUAAAUUUUUUCCUGGAAGAAUAUAUGGUUGUGAAGAUAUCGCUGUUUUAGCUUUAAAGUGGUUUCAAAAGAAUAGCUAAUAUUGUUGUCGUCGCUGUUGGAAUCUAAACUUAGAAUUCAAAUAGUUUAUUAGUGAGAAUUUGGAAAUCGCAUUUGCAGGUUGGAGACUUUGGAUUAUCAAGAAUUAAACGCAAUACCUUGGUUUCCGGUGGUGUACGAGGAACCCUUCCUUGGAUGGCACCCGAGUUGUUGAAUGGAAGCAGUAGCCGGGUUUCUGAAAAGGUUGAUGUUUUCUCAUUUGGAAUAGCAAUGUGGGAAAUCCUCACCGGCGAGGAACCCUAUGCAAACAUGCAUUGCGGCGCAAUCAUAGGUAAAUCUGUUUUUAAACUUCCAGAGAAAUAAAGGCUUGCUUAAAUCUUGUUAUCGAGUUAUGGAUGUGCAGGAAAUAAGAGUGUAGAGUAUUUGAUGGGGAUGAUCUCAUUUCUUUCUUUUUUGCAUAUUUUUGGAUCAUGGAGUUUAGGAUAACAUUGCCUACUCUUUCAGGGAAAAGGUAACAUAUAAUGCAGUGAGGAUUUCACAUAAUUCCAAAUUAUUUCUUGUUUUCUUCCUCAUCUCAGAAAAAUGACCUUUGACAGGUAGUAAUCGGAAAGAUUUCCCCUUGUUUUGCUAAAGCAACCUGAAUCAGUAAAUAAAAUAAGUGGCAAAAUUUAUAAAUAGGUGACUCGAGCUGCUCUUACCUCUUUCAUGUAAAUGGUAACCUAAUUUAUAGUACAAUUUUGUCCGCAUGAUGUAUCAUGAAAAGGUGAUUUCUUAGCUGCA
Molecule: non-coding RNA, 5149 nt
Organism: Phoenix dactylifera (date palm)
Lineage: Eukaryota; Viridiplantae; Streptophyta; Magnoliopsida; Arecales; Arecaceae
Source: RefSeq, a predicted model, not a curated record